This 253-nucleotide ribosomal RNA is filed under the name uncultured bacterium. RNAcentral's name for it is "partial 16S ribosomal RNA". It matches the Rfam family "Bacterial small subunit ribosomal RNA", at positions 524 to 776 of the family's 1533-position model. The record is from RNAcentral.
UACGUAGGGUGCGAGCGUUGUCCGGAAUUAUUGGGCGUAAAGGGCUCGUAGGCGGUUUGUCGCGUCGGGAGUGAAAACCCAGGGCUUAACCCUGGGCUGGCUUCCGAUACGGGCAGACUAGAGGUAUGCAGGGGAGAACGGAAUUCCUGGUGUAGCGGUGAAAUGCGCAGAUAUCAUGAGGAACACCGGUGGCGAAGGCGGUUCUCUGGGCAUUACCUGACGCUGAGGAGCGAAAGUGUGGGGAGCGAACAGG